GCCAAUGCAUGCUUUUACAGUAUGGAAAUUGGUGAUUUAUAAUAACUUGGCAAAUCGCAAAGUGAAAACAGGCGAUAAAUCAUUCAAGUUUCUGACCUAUCAGCUUUCGACGGUAUGGUAUUGGCUUACCGUGGCAGUGACGGUUAACGGGGGAUUAGGGUUCGAUUCCGGAGAGGGAGCCUGAGAAACGGCUACCACAUCUAAGGAAGGCAGCAGGCGCGCAAAUUACCCAAUUCUAACAGUUUGAGAGAGGUAGUAACAAGAAAUAACAAUACAAGGCAAUUAAAAUGCUUUGUAAUUGGAAUGAUAGAAAUUUAAACCCUUUUUAAAGUAUCAAUUGGAGGGCAAGUCUGGUGCCAGCAGCCGCGGUAAUUCCAGCUCCAAUAGCGUAUAUUAAAAUUGUUGCAGUUAAAAAGCUCGUAGUUGAAGUUCUGCUAAAAGUAACCGGUCUGCUUUUAAUAAAAGUGGUAUCUUGGUGUGUAUUUAGCAAUGAUGUCCUUUGAAGUGUUUUUUACUUUAUUGUAAUAAAGCAUAUUCAGGACUUUUACUUUGAGAAAAUUAGAGUGUUUCUAGCAGGCUGACGCUUUGAAUACUGCAG
Molecule: ribosomal RNA, 598 nt
Filed under: Hepatozoon canis
Lineage: Eukaryota; Apicomplexa; Hepatozoidae
Description: bacterial SSU rRNA
Rfam family: Eukaryotic small subunit ribosomal RNA
Source: RNAcentral